RNAcentral lists this ribosomal RNA (400 nucleotides) under uncultured bacterium. Its description in RNAcentral is "bacterial SSU rRNA". It matches the Rfam family "Bacterial small subunit ribosomal RNA", at positions 355 to 747 of the family's 1533-position model. The record is from RNAcentral.
UGGGGAAUUUUGGACAAUGGGGGCAACCCUGAUCCAGCAAUGCCGCGUGUCUGAAGAAGGCCUUCGGGUUGUAAAGGACUUUAGUUGGGGAGCAAGGUUGGUGGGUUAAGAGCUAAUCAACUUGAGAGUACCCAAAGAAUAAGGACCGGCUAACUACGUGCCAGCAGCCGCGGUAAUACGUAGGGUCCAAGCGUUAAUCGGAAUGACUGGGCGUAAAGCGUGCGCAGGCUGUUGUAUAAGCUUGAUGUGAAAUCCCCGGGCUUAACCUGGGAACUGCAUUGAGGACUGUACGGCUAGAGUGCGGCAGAGGGGGGUAGAAUUCCACGUGUAGCAGUGAAAUGCGUAGAGAUGUGGAGGAAUACCGAUGGCGAAGGCAGCCCCCUGGGUCGACACUGACGCU